GUCAAGUUAUUAAGGGUGCAGGGCGGAUGCCUUGGCACUAGGAGCCGAUGAAGGACGUGAUAAGCUGCGAUAAGCUUCGGGGAGUUGCACGUAAACUUUGAUCCGAAGAUUUCCGAAUGAGGAAACUCACUUAGAGUAAUGUCUAAGUAUCAUUAAGUGAAUACAUAGCUUAAUGAGGGGAACUCAGGGAACUGAAACAUCUAAGUACCUGAAGGAAGAGAAAGAAAUUCGAUUCCGUAAGUAGCGGCGAGCGAACGCGGAUUAGCCCAAACCAAUAAAGUUUUCUUUAUUGGGGUUGCGGACAUAUCAUAACGAAGAGGUAUCGUAAUUGAAGAGGUUUGGAAAGACCCACCACAGAAGGUAAUAGUCCUGUAUGUUAAACGAGAAGACUUCAGAUAUGAUCCAGAGUACCACGGGACACGUGAAACCCUGUGGGAAGCAGGAGGGACCACCCUCCAAGGCUAAAUACUACCUAGUGACCGAUAGCGUAUAGUACCGUGAGGGAAAGGUGAAAAGAACCCCGGGAGGGGAGUGAAAUAGAACCUGAAACCCUGCACUUACAAGCUGUGGAAGCACAUUUCUUGUGUGACCGCGUACUUUUUGUAGAACGGGCCAACGAGUUACGUUAAGUAGCAAGGUUAAGCACUUAAGGUGCGGAGCCGUAGCGAAAGCGAGUUUUAACUGAGCGUUCAGUUACUUGACGUAGACCCGAAACCGGGCGACCUACCCAUGAGCAGGAUGAAGCGAAAGUAAAAUUUCGUGGAGGUCCGAACCCACGAGCGUUGAAAAGCUCGGGGAUGACUUGUGGGUAGCGGUGAAAUUCCAAUCGAGCCCGGAGAUAGCUGGUUCUCCCCGAAAUAGCUUUAGGGCUAGCCUCAAGGUGAGAGAUACGGAGGUAGAGCACUGAAUGUCCUAGGGGGUAUUGCACCUACCGAAGACUAUCAAACUCCGAAUGCCGUCAUCUUAUACUUGGGAGUCAGACUGUGGGUGAUAAGAUUCAUAGUCGAAAGGGCAACAGCCCAGAUCGUCAGCUAAGGUCCCUAAAUGUAAGUUAAGUGGUAAAGGAUGUGGGAUUGCACAGACAACCAGGAUGUUGGCUUAGAAGCAGCCACUCAUUCAAAGAGUGCGUAAUAGCUCACUGGUCGAGUGAUCCUGCGCCGAAGAUUUCCGGGGCUAAAACUUACUACCGAAGCUACGGCAUCAGUAAUGAUGGGUAGGGGAGCUUCCCAUACGGGUUGAAGCAUGACCGUAAGGACAUGUGGACAGUAUGGGAGUGAGAAUGUUGGCAUGAGUAGCGAGAUGUGGGUGAGAAUCCCACAGGCCGUAAACCCAAGGUUUCCAGGGGAAGGUUCGUCCGCCCUGGGUUAGUCGGAACCUAAGCUGAGGCCGAAAGGCGUAGGUGAUGGACAACAGGUUGAUAUUCCUGUACUACCGAUAACCAUUUGAGAGAAGGGAUGACACAGUAGGAUAAGCUAAGCACACUGUUGGUUAUGUGUGCCCAAGCAUUGAGGCAGUCAAAGUAGGCAAAUCCGCUUUGAUAAUGCUGGGAUGUGAUGGGGAGCGAAAUUUAGUAGCGAAGUAGCUGAUUUCACACUGUCAAGAAAAGUCUCUAUCGAGGUUAAAGGUACCCGUACCGCAAACCGACACAGGUGGGUGAGGAGAGUAUCCUAAGGCCAGCGAGAGAACUGUUGUUAAGGAACUCGGCAAAAUGACCCCGUAACUUAGGGAUAAGGGGUGCCACCAUCAGGUGGCCGCAGAGAAUAGGCCCAAGCGACUGUUUACCAAAAACAUAGGUUUCUGCUAAGUCGCAAGACGAUGUAUAGGAGCUGACGCCUGCCCGGUGCUGGAAGGUUAAGGGGAUCUGUUAGAGCAAUCGAAGCAGUGAACUUAAGCCCCAGUAAACGGCGGCCGUAACUAUAACGGUCCUAAGGUAGCGAAAUUCCUUGUCGGGUAAGUUCCGACCCGCACGAAAGGCGUAACGAUUUGGGCACUGUCUCAACAACAGACUCGGUGAAAUUGUAAUUCCGGUGAAGAUGCCGGAUACCUGCGACAGGACGGAAAGACCCCAUGGAGCUUUACUGUAGCUUGACAUUGGGUCUUGGUACUACAUGUACAGGAUAGGUGGGAGGCUUUGAAACCAGGACGCCAGUUUUGGCGGAGCCAUCCUUGGGAUACCACCCUUGUAGUACUGGGACUCUAACCAUAGGCCAUGAAUCUGGUCUUGGGACACUGUCAGGUGGGCAGUUUGACUGGGGCGGUCGCCUCCCAAAAGGUAACGGAGGCGCUCAAAGGUUCUCUCAGUACGGUCGGAAAUCGUACGUAGAGUGUAAAGGCAAAAGAGAGCUUGAUUGCAAGACAUACAGGUCGAGCAAGGAUGAAAAUCGGACUUAGUGAUCCGGUGGUUCUGCGUGGAAGGGCCAUCGCUCAACGGAUAAAAGCUACCCUGGGGAUAACAGGCUUAUCUCCCCCAAGAGUCCACAUCGACGGGGAGGUUUGGCACCUCGAUGUCGGCUCAUCACAUCCUGGGGCUGUAGUAGGUCCCAAGGGUUGGGCUGUUCGCCCAUUAAAGUGGUACGCGAGCUGGGUUCAGAACGUCGUGAGACAGUUCGGUCCCUAUCCGUCGCAGGCGUAGGAAAUUUGAGAAGACCUGUCCUUAGUACGAGAGGACCGGGAUGGACGUACCUCUGGUGUACCAGUUGUUCUGCCAAGGGCAUGGCUGGGUAGCUAUGUACGGAAUGGAUAAGCGCUGAAAGCAUCUAAGCGCGAAGCCAACUUCAAGAUAAGAUUUCCCACCGCAAGGGUAAGACUCCAGAAAGACUAUCUGGUUGAUAGGUCGAAGGUGUAAGUGCAGCAAUGUAUUUAGCUUAUCGAUACUAAUAGGUCGAGGACUUGAC
RNAcentral lists this ribosomal RNA (2894 nucleotides) under Clostridioides difficile. RNAcentral's name for it is "Bacterial large subunit ribosomal RNA". It matches the Rfam family "Bacterial large subunit ribosomal RNA". Lineage: Bacteria; Bacillati; Bacillota; Clostridia; Peptostreptococcales; Peptostreptococcaceae. The record is from RNAcentral.